Molecule: long non-coding RNA, 274 nt
Filed under: Homo sapiens (human)
Lineage: Eukaryota; Metazoa; Chordata; Mammalia; Primates; Hominidae
Description: HSALNT0223532
Source: RNAcentral
CCUAAUCAAGCCUGGGCAAUGGCGGGCGCCCCUCCCCCAGCCUCGCUGCCGCCUUGCAGUUUGAUCUCAGACUGCUGUGCUAGCAAUCAGCGAGACUCCGUGGGCGUAGGACCCUCUGAGCCAGUGAGAUGAACCCGGUACCUCAGAUGGAAAUGCAGAAAUCACCCGUCUUCUGCGUCGCUCACGCUGGGAGCUGUAGACCGGAGCUGUUCCUAUUCGGCCAUCUUGGCUCCUCCUCGAAAUGGAAUCCUGACUGAUACAAGCUGAAAACGAA